CAAACAGUCCCAACUGCCUCUCGCCCAGUUGUUCUUUUCCUGUGAUGCUUUUAUCUCCUCUGAACUGGGCCUUACUCUUCCUUCUGGACACACAGCAGCACGCUGUCCGAACAUUGUCACACAUCCCAAUCCAAAGCAGAAAGAGAGUCACUAUGGAUGGAGCAUCAUGGCCCAAAGAGAGGAAAAAGAAGUGGAGCUAUGGGUCUGAGCCUCACAGAGGAAUGAUGUUAGAUUUCUACAAGGCUGAUAAAUGAUACUCCCAUAAGGUUACUGGCAGAGACUGUCAACCAGUUGCAGCCGUACCUUCUCCUCGUUCGCUGUGAGGUGGCUCAAUAACAGGACCUCGAUUAAGACAAAGAAACGUAGAUCAGGGUUGACAGUCCCGUUUGUUUUCUGGAAUAAACACACUGUGAGC
Long non-coding RNA from Cavia porcellus (domestic guinea pig), 415 nucleotides. RefSeq lists it as uncharacterized. The transcript is spliced from 3 exons. The record is from RefSeq and is a predicted model, not a curated record. NCBI's taxonomy places the organism in Eukaryota, Metazoa, Chordata, Mammalia, Rodentia, Caviidae.